GUGUCAGCAGCCGCGGUAAUACGGAGGUGGCAAGCGUUGUUCGGAAUUACUGGGCGUAAAGGGCGCGUAGGCGGGGAGGCAAGUCGGGUGUGAAAGCCCUCGGCUCAACCGAGGAACGGCGCCCGAAACUGCUUCUCUUGAGUCCCGGAGAGGAAGGUGGAAUUCCCGGUGUAGCGGUGAAAUGUGUAGAGAUCGGGAGGAACACCGGUGGCGAAGGCGGCCUUCUGGACGGUGACUGACGCUGAGGCGCGAAAGCGUGGGGAGCAAACGGGAUUAGAAACCCUGGUAGUCC
This 292-nucleotide ribosomal RNA is filed under the name uncultured bacterium. RNAcentral describes it as "partial 16S ribosomal RNA". It matches the Rfam family "Bacterial small subunit ribosomal RNA", at positions 505 to 796 of the family's 1533-position model. The record is from RNAcentral.